Salvia splendens (bonfire salvia) is the source of this 100-nucleotide small nuclear RNA. Lineage: Eukaryota; Viridiplantae; Streptophyta; Magnoliopsida; Lamiales; Lamiaceae. The record is from RefSeq and is a predicted model, not a curated record.
UAAUCUUUAAGAAUUGAUUUAUAAAUGUAAUUAUAGAGAUAAGAUUAGCAUGGCCCGCGCAAGGAUGACACACAUAAAUCGAGAAAAGAUGUAUAAAUGU